RNAcentral lists this ribosomal RNA (409 nucleotides) under uncultured archaeon. RNAcentral's name for it is "bacterial SSU rRNA". It matches the Rfam family "Archaeal small subunit ribosomal RNA", at positions 101 to 526 of the family's 1478-position model. The record is from RNAcentral.
UUGCCAAUACCUACGACCCGAUACUUCGGGAAUGAGGCCAUAGGGAUAUACUCUCAGCGGAGGCGAGAGUAGAACGUUCCGGCGCUGUAGGAUGUGGCUGCGGCCGAUUAGGUAGAUGGUGGGGUAACGGCCCACCAUGCCGAUAAUCGGUACAGGUUGUGAGAGCAAGAGCCUGGAGACGGUAUCUGAGACAAGAUACCGGGCCCUACGGGGCGCAGCAGGCGCGAAACCUUUACACUGCACGACAGUGCGAUAGGGGGACUCCGAGUGUGAGGGCAUAUAGCCCUCGCUUUUCUGUACCGUAAGGUGGUACAGGAACAAGGACUGGGCAAGACCGGUGCCAGCCGCCGCGGUAAUACCGGCAGUCCAAGUGAUGGCCGAUAUUAUUGGGCCUAAAGCGUCCGUAGCU